GAUGAACGCUGGCGGUAUGCUUAACACAUGCAAGUCGAACGGACUCUUCGGAGUUAGUGGCGGACGGGUGAGUAACGCGUGCGAAUCUGGCUUUGGGUUCGGGACAACCACUGGAAACGGUGGCUAAUACCGGAUGUGACGAGAGGUAACAGAGAAAUUGCCUGAAGAUGAGCUCGCGUCUGAUUAGCUAGUUGGUGAGUUAAAGGCUCACCAAGGCAGCGAUCAGUAGCUGGUCUGAGAGGAUGACCAGCCACACUGGGACUGAGACACGGCCCAGACUCCUACAGGCGGGAGAUGGGGGGAAUUGCCCGCAAUGCGCGAACGCCUGACGGGGCAAUACCGCGCGAGGGAAGGAGGCUCUUGGGUUGUAGACCUCUUUUCUUAGGGAAGAACAAAAUGACGGUACCUAAGGAGUCUGCGUCGGCUAACUCCGUG
RNAcentral lists this ribosomal RNA (435 nucleotides) under uncultured bacterium. RNAcentral describes it as "partial 16S ribosomal RNA". It matches the Rfam family "Bacterial small subunit ribosomal RNA", at positions 28 to 507 of the family's 1533-position model. The record is from RNAcentral.